This 84-nucleotide transfer RNA is filed under the name Pseudomonadota bacterium. RNAcentral describes it as "tRNA-Leu". It matches the Rfam family "tRNA". From Rfam's summary of the family: Transfer RNA (tRNA) molecules are approximately 80 nucleotides in length. Their secondary structure includes four short double-helical elements and three loops (D, anti-codon, and T loops). Lineage: Bacteria; Pseudomonadati; Pseudomonadota. RNAcentral also lists the same sequence under 1 other name. The record is from RNAcentral.
GCCGAGGUGGUGGAAUUGGUAGACACGCUGGUCUUAGGAACCAGUGCUCGCAAGGGCUUGCAGGUUCGAUUCCUGUCCUCGGUA